UCAUAUAUAGUAUCUAAUAAUUUGUUUUGUUAUCGGUGAAUGAUUCUGGAAAAAGAGCUUUUGCUUUCUUCCCUCUUGAACAGUAAGGGCCCUUCUCACCUCCUACGAGUCGUCCGGCGGAAAAGACUUUAUGAAUGGAGUCAAAGAUGUUGAGGUCGAAGGAGGUCCAACCCGAGCUCGAACCUUCGUGUGAACCCACACCCACUAUGGAGUUAGAUCCACCGGAGGUGAGGCUAUGUCAUGCUAAAGGCACAGGAGAUGUUUUGGCCAUGAAGAAGUCAAAGAAGUAAAAGAUACUUAACCAAGGAUAGGUAUUGCAAUAAAAAAGUGAAAUUCAUAAAUCAUUAAUUCUUUUACAAGAUUUUCUCUGAUAGAGUUUUAAGAUCCAUACCAAUAAUGCUAAAACAAAAACUGUUAUUUAUUAAUAGUUUAAAGUAUGAAUUUGAUUUGUGCCUUCUAUUUUUCUUACUUCAUAUGAACAUCUAAACAUGUGCUUUCUUUUUUCCAUUGACAAGUAGAAAGUCCACCAGUUGUAACUGCAACUGUAGGACCUUGGCAAAAAGUAACAAUUUUUGUUUGACUUAUACUUUAUUGAGAUCCUUAGUAAGGGACUUGCUUGCUAAUUUUCUCAUAGCAUAAAUGUUUGUGUCGGUGCAUGAGCAAAGAGAAAAUAUAGAAUUUACAUCCUUGUGGUUUUAUCAUUUCUUAUGGAUAUUUUGUUAAUAAUUCAUGUGAUGAAAAAAUAGAAGUAAUCUUUAUAUGCAAUUUAGCUAUUACAGUUUGUAGUGAUACGAUGCUUGGGGUAUUAUGCCUGUUAUAUUUAGAAAAAAAAUGCAAAGGUAUCAUACUGUCAGCUACACUAGUGCAGUUAAUAAAAGUGCAAUAGGUGGACCAUCUACUAGCGAUGGCAGAAGAUCUGAUUCAUCUACUUUGCUGGCUAACUCGUGUCUUUCAUCUUGUUUCCAGGCUAUUAGAAAACAUCUUCGCCGCUGCUUGCUUUCUUCUUUCUUGAUUUGAUCUUUCCUCUGCCUGCUUUCAAUUAAUUAAUGUGUCUUAUUCUUCUUUGACGUUAAUUUUUUUAUUACUAAUUCUCUUCAAAGUUCUUAUAAAAAUUUCAUGUGUCAUCUUUUCUUAA
Arachis ipaensis is the source of this 1135-nucleotide non-coding RNA. The record is from RefSeq and is a predicted model, not a curated record. NCBI's taxonomy places the organism in Eukaryota, Viridiplantae, Streptophyta, Magnoliopsida, Fabales, Fabaceae.